RNAcentral lists this RNase P RNA (366 nucleotides) under bacterium. RNAcentral describes it as "RNase P RNA component class A". It matches the Rfam family "Bacterial RNase P class A". From Rfam's summary of the family: Ribonuclease P (RNase P) is a ubiquitous endoribonuclease, found in archaea, bacteria and eukarya as well as chloroplasts and mitochondria. The record is from RNAcentral.
UGAGUCGGCUGGGUGGCCGCGGCAUCGAGGUCUUGGCCUCGGUGUCGAGGAAGGUCGGGACUCCGCAGGGCAACGGUGCUGGCUAACGGCCAGUCGGGGCGACUCGAAGGAAAGUGCCACAGAAAACAGACCGCCGAUGGCCCGGAUUUCCGGGUACAGGCAAGGGUGAAACGGUGCGGUAAGAGCGCACCAGGGGCCGGGGUGACUCGGCUCGCUCGGCAAACCCCACCGGGAGCAAGGCCAAGCAGGGGACAUGGUGGCCCGCCGCCCCAUCAGGGGCAGUCCCCGGGUAGGCCGCUUAGAUGGAUGGCCAUCCACGGUCCGCCAGGACCCGGACAGAAUCCCGCCUACAGGCCGACUCACCGU